Cucumis sativus (cucumber) is the source of this 1327-nucleotide long non-coding RNA. RefSeq lists it as hypothetical. Lineage: Eukaryota; Viridiplantae; Streptophyta; Magnoliopsida; Cucurbitales; Cucurbitaceae. The record is from RefSeq and is a predicted model, not a curated record. The transcript has 3 exons.
AUGGUUUAAAAAUAACAUAUUUAUGAAUUCAUAAACAGGCAAAGGAAAAAAAAAGAGAGAAGAAAAAGAGCCCUAACCGCUGGCCCCUCAUCCUUCUUCUCCGGCCUCUUCAAUAGCAACAGGUAGCGACGGCCGGUGCCCACACCCAAGCCAACCGAAAGCUCUGUCGUUGAGGUUGCUCUAUGCUCAUCCACGAAUCUGACUUGCAUUGCGAGGCUUCGCCUAGGCUUUUUCAGCAUCAUUUCGACGACUAGUUCUGUCUUGCCAGCGUUUUUGGCUUGAGGGGUAUGCUUUCGACUGUUACCCACACUCCCAUUGAUCUUAAAUCAGUCUACCCAUAACGUCUAAGCAUCGGAUCUGCAAUUUUGAAUGCUCUUGAAUGCCGUCCAGCAAGGUUCAGAGCCUUUUUUGUUUUGGACUAGCUCGGACUGAUCGACUCAGGUCUAUGGUUGUUGAUUUUGGGGGUAAGUAUUCUUUUAAACACUCUCAAAUUUCAAUUAAGGUCUUCAAAAUGAGUUCUAAUUUCUAAAUUUUUUAUGGAUUCUUUAAACUUCGAGGACGUUGAUAUUUGUCCAAGUGGAUUUAUGAUGGAGAAUUGUAGGAUAGUCAAUUGAGUUGGAUUGAGAAAUACCGACUAUUAAACCAUCAUCACCAUGUCGCCUCCUGGGGGUUCACCAAGGAAGCGAAAGGAGGUUGAGCCGCUUGUGAAGCCGAAAGUUGCAGAAGCCGAUUCAAUUUCAGCAAAUCGACUUCUAGCAGGCUAUCUUGCUCAUGAGUUUCUCUGCAACGGCACUUUGUUUGGGGAGAAGUACGAACCGGCUCUAAAUGAAGCUGUUGGAAUGGCUAACUCGCAGUCAACUGAGUGUAAGAGGACGAAGCUGGAAGCCGCUGCGGCGAGCAUAAAAAAAGUAAAUCAUAGCUAUGCUGAGGUGGCAAGGAUCUUGAAGAUGGAUGGAGCCCAUUUGCCUGGAAUUGUGAACCCGGGCCAGCUCGCUUGGUGGAUUAAAAUGUAACUGUCAACGUGGUGUCCUUUGAUUGAUGUAUAUUUUACUUUGGAGUUUACGUUGAAAUCUUCCGUAUCUCAAAACCACAAGAGAAAUGGAGUAUAGAUGACUUCUCUCUCUCACCAAGUUUGUUUUCGAGAGAUUAUCUUCCAUUUGUUCUAUUGAAUUUCAAUAUCAGCGUAGAGUGAUAUCUGUUACUGAUCAAUGUAUAGGACUAAGUUCAGAAAUGGAUAAUUGGUUCUCUUUGUUAGUUUUGUAAUUGUACAGUUUCCCUUUUCAUGUAAAUGAUUAUACCUUACCCUUUUUGGUCUUGUUUUCUUUCA